CUAAUUAUUUUUUUUCUAUUUUAAACUUUUUCCUCUAAAGUUCCUCUAAAUUAUAUCACGAUUGGAAGUGCCGCCCAAAUAUCCAUUGGAAUUUGCCCUAAUUUACACACUUGAGAGAAUAGGAAUCGAUCCGCACACCGUGAAGCCGCCGACGAUUCGAUCCGCAGACCGUGAAUCAGCGUCGCUUUUCUUCUGGUUCAGGGGGACAAAUUUAAUUUUUCUGAUGCAUUAAAGAGAAAGAAGGUGUUGGCUUCAAGAACCAUGUCAUACAGGCCUUUGAUUCCUUCUUAUAUUCAGAUAUGUAAAACUAGCAGAGCAAAGAGCUAAAGAAUGAUAAAAUGCAAGCCUAAGGAUAAUGAUCAACUUCCUGAAGUUUUGUGAGUUGCACUGCAACCGACUUUCUCAUGAGUGUUUUGGAAAUACUGAAUGCAAUACUGAUAAACGUGUUGCCAAGGAACCGAGAGAAUAAUAUUUAAGGAACAAAUGAAGGGCUACUAAUCUUCAGAAGAUGGAAGUGCUUCCGUGGAUUAAUUUGUGGUUGUGACAAACAAAGAGCAUAAGGACACCGUUGACUUUAUGGUAGAGGCGUUAUUAACAAAUUGAUAAAAAAAGUGGAUGGUUGUGAUAUACCUACCAUCAGGGGCGCAACUUAGUGUAUGUCCGGGGGGCGCCCCCCCCCCCCCCCCCCCGAACUUUCAAAGCUAGUGUUGAAGUUAAAACAAUUAUUUGCAUGAAAUGCGAAAAGAUAUUAAAGAGGAACGUGAAAGGAAAAAACGCAGAGUUAGAAGCCACAUGGAAAGAUAAUUGACAACCCAUAAGAAAACACUGAAGCAACUACCUUUUAGAGGUGGAGAGUUUUUAACAUGUGUAGAAGGUUUUUGUUACUCUUAAUUAAUUGUAAUUGACAACUUUGUGUUGAAUACAUUAUUUUGAGUUUGAACAUA
Long non-coding RNA from Helianthus annuus (common sunflower), 944 nucleotides. RefSeq lists it as uncharacterized. The record is from RefSeq and is a predicted model, not a curated record. NCBI's taxonomy places the organism in Eukaryota, Viridiplantae, Streptophyta, Magnoliopsida, Asterales, Asteraceae. The transcript is spliced from 5 exons.